Molecule: ribosomal RNA, 99 nt
Filed under: Dermocybe semisanguinea
Lineage: Eukaryota; Fungi; Basidiomycota; Agaricomycetes; Agaricales; Cortinariaceae
Description: partial 28S ribosomal RNA
Rfam family: Eukaryotic large subunit ribosomal RNA
Source: RNAcentral
GUGACCUCAAAUCAGGUAGGACUACCCGCUGAACUUAAGCAUAUCAAUAAGCGGAGGAAAAGAAACUAACAAGGAUUCCCCUAGUAACUGCGAGUGAGG